UCAGAGCCCUGCCUGUAGCAGCCCCCCUGCCCGCAGCCCGCAGGGCGCCCAGUAGCCAGGACUAAGGGGGGUCGGGUACCACCCCCCUCCCCGCGGCCGAGGCCGGCGCUCUGACACCUCUGGUUACAAGUGCAGUUUCUUCUAGCAAACCCAGUGUCGAGACGGCUAGCUCCAGAGCCAGAGCGCGGGCGUUCCACAUGCGCUGUACCCGUCGCUUGUUAUUGGGGACCCAGCCCUGCUGCAACACGGUGCCCUUGGCUGAGGCAGGGUCACCUGCAGGGACUCACCUCUCCUCCCGGGAUAGGAAGGCGGCGGAAGGGAGCGGACCCCGGUGAACAGGGUCGGCGUCACCCCAGGUCCACCGCGCAGCGGAUGUGGCCCAGCCAGCAGCCGAGCACCGCCCUGCCCAGGUUAUUCCAGCAUACUGAGCAGAGUUCCCUGUGCCGUCCGGUAGGUCCUUGUUGGUUCUCUAGUCCAUAUAGAGUGGUGUUUAUACGUGCAGCGGCACUGUUGAAGCGCUUGUGAAGAAGGGGGAACCAAGCCGGGAGAAGAUAAGCCUUGGGACAGAAAGCAGAGAGGCAGGAGCCUGCAGGAUCUUAGUUCCCUGACCAGGGCUUGAACCCGCGCCCUCGGCACUGAAAGCGCAGACUCCUAACCACUGGACCGCCAGAAGAGGCAGUGGAGGUGCCCCGGGAGACGCCGGGGUCGCAGGACGUGGAAAGAGAGCUCGUCUUGCACCGCUGGAUGUGGGGACCCAGGGAGGGGCCCGGGCGGCUUGGUCCCCUCGACUCCAUGAGCCCAGUGACCCAUGUUG
Molecule: non-coding RNA, 814 nt
Organism: Kogia breviceps (pygmy sperm whale)
Lineage: Eukaryota; Metazoa; Chordata; Mammalia; Artiodactyla; Physeteridae
Source: RefSeq, a predicted model, not a curated record